CCUACGGGAGGCAGCAGUAGGGAAUAUUGCUCAAUGGGGGAAACCCUGAACCAGCAACGCCGCGUGCAGGAUGAAGGUUUUCGGAUUGUAAACUCCUUUUGGUAGAGAGGAUAAUGACGGUAUCUGACGAAUAAGCACCGGCUAACUCCGUGCCAGCAGCCGCGGUAAUACGGAGGGUGCAAGCGUUACUCGGAAUAACUGGGCGUAAAGAGCGCGUAGGCGGGAUAGCAAUUCAGAUGUGAAAUCCUAUGGUUUAAACAUAGAACUGCAUUUGAUACUGUUAGUCUAGAGUAUGGGAGGGGUAGGUGGAAUUCUUGGUGUAGGGGUAAAAUGCGUAGAGAUCAAGCGGAAUACUCAUUGCGAAGGCGACCUGCUAGAACAUAACUGACGCUGAUGCGCGAAAGCGUGGGGAGCAAACAGGAUUAGAUACCCUAGUAGUC
This 440-nucleotide ribosomal RNA is filed under the name uncultured bacterium. RNAcentral describes it as "partial 16S ribosomal RNA". It matches the Rfam family "Bacterial small subunit ribosomal RNA", at positions 338 to 795 of the family's 1533-position model. The record is from RNAcentral.